RNAcentral lists this long non-coding RNA (739 nucleotides) under Lathyrus oleraceus (garden pea). RNAcentral describes it as "Pisum sativum (pea) long non-coding RNA (PSAT_LNC024961)". Lineage: Eukaryota; Viridiplantae; Streptophyta; Magnoliopsida; Fabales; Fabaceae. The record is from RNAcentral.
UAAGAGUCAACAACCUUCACUUCUUCGAUCACUUAAUCCUUCAAAUAUUUUCUAUGAUUCCGUCCGAAAUUCCAUAAAUUUUUAAAGAAUAAAUAUUAUUUUCAUUAUAUACAAAAUAAAAUAAAAAAACAAUAAAUUUUUUUUAUAUCUACAAAAAUCUCUUUUCGAAAACCUUUUUUAAAUAAAAGAAAAGUUACAUUUUAUAAAAUAUUGAUUUAUUGCAUCGGAAAAAUCAGAGAGAUAACCAGAAAAAGGUAAUGAUUUUAGCCUGCGCCUCCCUUGGAUCACGAGCUUCUAAUGCUUGCUUUCCUUUCAAGUUUCACUGCUCUAGCUGAACAAGUCUUAUCUAGAAACUAGUUAUGUGAUGUGAUGUAAAUUAAAUGCAUUAGAUUGUACUCCUUGCAAGUAAAAAAUUGAAGGAUCUUAGAAUUUUCACCCCUUGAUUUUACAUGAUUUGAUGGUAGUGCUGCUUCCAUUGUGGUUGUCUGUUAGCAAAGGCAGUGACAUGUUUGCCAUUAUGAACUAUUAAUAUCGCUUUCUUUUCUUAAUAUGGGAGUGUUACUUUUUUCCAUUUUAUCAUGCCUCAAGAAUUUUAGAUUGUAUUUUCUGAUAUAUUGGAAUAUGCCAAAGUAGAUGUCAUGUCACAAAUCAGAAUUGCACUCUGCACCUAAAACUAGUGAUUACCUUUUCGGCUACUCGCAGUGCUACUGAGAUUUGAUAACCAAAGUUUGGAUUUUGG